Molecule: ribosomal RNA, 492 nt
Filed under: uncultured bacterium
Lineage: Bacteria
Description: partial 16S ribosomal RNA
Rfam family: Bacterial small subunit ribosomal RNA
Source: RNAcentral
AGUGAACGCUGGCGGUAGGCCUAACACAUGCAAGUCGAACGGCAGCACAGUAAGAGCUUGCUCUUACGGGUGGCGAGUGGCGGACGGGUGAGGAAUACAUCGGAAUCUACUUUUUCGUGGGGGAUAACGUAGGGAAACUUACGCUAAUACCGCAUACGACCUACGGGUGAAAGCAGGGGAUCUUCGGACCUUUCGCGAUUGUAUUAGCCGAUGUCGGAUUAGCUAGUUGGCGGGGUAAAGGCCCACCAAGGCGACGAUCCGUAGCUGGUCUGAGAGGAUGAUCAGCCACACUGGAACUGAGACACGGUCCAGACUCCUACGGGAGGCAGCAGUGGGGAAUAUUGGACAAUGGGCGCAAGCCUGAUCCAGCCAUACCGCGUGGGUGAAGAAGGACUUCGGGUUGUAAAGCCCUUUUGUUGGGAAAGAAAAGCAGCAGGUUAAUACCCCGCUGUUCUGACGGUACCCAAAGAAUAAGCACCGGCUAACUUCGUG